UGUGAACUCGAAGAGUAGGGCGGGACACGUGGUAUCCUGUCUGAAUAUGGGGGGACCAUCCUCCAAGGCUAAAUACUCCUGACUGACCGAUAGUGAACCAGUACCGUGAGGGAAAGGCGAAAAGAACCCCGGCGAGGGGAGUGAAAAAGAACCUGAAACCGUGUACGUACAAGCAGUGGGAGCACCUUCGGGUGUGACUGCGUACCUUUUGUAUAAUGGGUCAGCGACUUAUAUUCUGUAGCAAGGUUAACCGUAUAGGGGAGCCGCAGGGAAACCGAGUCUUAACUGGGCGUUAAGUUGCAGGGUAUAGACCCGAAACCCGGUGAUCUAGCCAUGGGCAGGUUGAAGGUUGGGUAACACUAACUGGAGGACCGAACCGACUAAUGUUGAAAAAUUAGCGGAUGACUUGUGGCUGGGGGUGAAAGGCCAAUCAAACCGGGAGAUAGCUGGUUCUCCCCGAAAGCUAUUUAGGUAGCGCCUCGUGAACUCAUCUUCGGGGGUAGAGCACUGUUUCGGCUAGGGGGUCAUCCCGACUUACCAACCCGAUGCAAACUACGAAUACCGAAGAAUGUUAUCACGGGAGACACACGGCGGGUGCUAACGUCCGUCGUGAAGAGGGAAACAACCCAGACCGCCAGCUAAGGUCCCAAAGUCAUGGUUAAGUGGGAAACGAUGUGGGAAGGCACAGACAGCCAGGAUGUUGGCUUAGAAGCAGCCAUCAUUUAAAGAAAGCGUAAUAGCUCACUGGUCGAGUCGGCCUGCGCGGAAGAUGUAACGGGGCUAAACCAUGCACCGAAGCUGCGGCAGCGACACUAUGUGUUGUUGGGUAGGGGAGCGUUCUGUAAGCCUGCGAAGGUGUGCUGUGAGGCAUGCUGGAGGUAUCAGAAGUGCGAAUGCUGACAUAAGUAACGAUAAAGCGGGUGAAAAGCCCGCUCGCCGGAAGACCAAGGGUUCCUGUCCAACGUUAAUCGGGGCAGGGUGAGUCGACCCCUAAGGCGAGGCCGAAAGGCGUAGUCGAUGGGAAACAGGUUAAUAUUCCUGUACUUGGUGUUACUGCGAAGGGGGGACGGAGAAGGCUAUGUUAGCCGGGCGACGGUUGUCCCGGUUUAAGCAUGUAGGCUGAUUGUCCAGGCAAAUCCGGAUAAUCAAGGCUGAGGUGUGAUGACGAGGCACUACGGUGCUGAAGUAACAAAUGCCCUGCUUCCAGGAAAAGCCUCUAAGCAUCAGGUAACAUCAAAUCGUACCCCAAACCGACACAGGUGGUCAGGUAGAGAAUACCAAGGCGCUUGAGAGAACUCGGGUGAAGGAACUAGGCAAAAUGGUGCCGUAACUUCGGGAGAAGGCACGCUGGUGUGUAGGUGAAGUCCCUGCGGAUGGAGCUGAGACCAGUCGAAGAUACCAGCUGGCUGCAACUGUUUAUUAAAAACACAGCACUGUGCAAACACGAAAGUGGACGUAUACGGUGUGACGCCUGCCCGGUGCCGGAAGGUUAAUUGAUGGGGUUAUCCGUAAGGAGAAGCUCUUGAUCGAAGCCCCGGUAAACGGCGGCCGUAACUAUAACGGUCCUAAGGUAGCGAAAUUCCUUGUCGGGUAAGUUCCGACCUGCACGAAUGGCGUAAUGAUGGCCAGGCUGUCUCCACCCGAGACUCAGUGAAAUUGAACUCGCUGUGAAGAUGCAGUGUACCCGCGGCAAGACGGAAAGACCCCGUGAACCUUUACUAUAGCUUGACACUGAACAUUGAGCCUUGAUGUGUAGGAUAGGUGGGAGGCUUUGAAGCGUGGACGCCAGUCUGCGUGGAGCCAACCUUGAAAUACCACCCUUUAAUGUUUGAUGUUCUAACGUUGGCCCCUGACCGGGGUUGCGGACAGUGUCUGGUGGGUAGUUUGACUGGGGCGGUCUCCUCCCAAAGCGUAACGGAGGAGCACGAAGGUUAGCUAAUCCUGGUCGGACAUCAGGAGGUUAGUGCAAUGGCAUAAGCUAGCUUGACUGCGAGCGUGACGGCGCGAGCAGGUGCGAAAGCAGGUCAUAGUGAUCCGGUGGUUCUGAAUGGAAGGGCCAUCGCUCAACGGAUAAAAGGUACUCCGGGGAUAACAGGCUGAUACCGCCCAAGAGUUCAUAUCGACGGCGGUGUUUGGCACCUCGAUGUCGGCUCAUCACAUCCUGGGGCUGAAGUAGGUCCCAAGGGUAUGGCUGUUCGCCAUUUAAAGUGGUACGCGAGCUGGGUUUAGAACGUCGUGAGACAGUUCGGUCCCUAUCUGCCGUGGGCGCUGGAGAAUUGAGGGGGGCUGCUCCUAGUACGAGAGGACCGGAGUGGACGCAUCACUGGUGUUCGGGUUGUCAUGCCAAUGGCACUGCCCGGUAGCUAAAUGCGGAAGAGAUAAGUGCUGAAAGCAUCUAAGCACGAAACUUGCCCCGAGAUGAGUUCUCCCUGAGACUUUAAGUCUCCUGAAGGAACGUUAAAGACGAUGACGUUGAUAGGCCGGGUGUGUAAGCGCAGCGAUGCGUUGAGCUAACCGGUACUAAUGAACCGUGAGGCUUAACCUU
This 2545-nucleotide ribosomal RNA is filed under the name Klebsiella pneumoniae. RNAcentral's name for it is "bacterial LSU rRNA". It matches the Rfam family "Bacterial large subunit ribosomal RNA", at positions 398 to 2925 of the family's 2925-position model. RNAcentral also lists the same sequence under 1 other name. The record is from RNAcentral. Lineage: Bacteria; Pseudomonadati; Pseudomonadota; Gammaproteobacteria; Enterobacterales; Enterobacteriaceae.